GUUUUUAAAGAAAGAAAAAGAAAGUGAAGCAAAGGAAGAGAAAAUUAAGCAAGAAACCACUAAGGUGUAGCUAAGGAGGUCGUAGGCGGUGGCUUGGUGGAGGCGGUGAUAGUCGCGCGACAAAUGGAGCAGAGUUCGAGAUGGUUAGCGAUGGCUAGGUUUGAUGGAGGUGUACACGGUCAAUUGGAGAUGGUGGUGGCUCCUACGAAUUCUACGAUGGUUGACAAAAUGAGUGGUGGUUAUAGACUUUUCCUUUUCUCUUUCUUCUAACUCAUUCUUUAGUUUCUUUUCAUCUCUCUUGAACAUUAUGGAUUGUAUUAUUGGAGUUGCUAAAGGCUAGAAAAUGGAAGUAUGGUGGUGUGAUUUAGUCAAAGUUCUACAUUUUGUAGCGGUUUUUUUUUCUUCCUGUUUUUAUACGCAUCCUAUUGUCUGAUUAUUUUGUACUCAAUUUAUAGUCUCAAAUAAUGAAUAUUUUUUCUUGUUUUUAUUGAGUUCUGGAUUAUCGCUUGUUUCUUGCAGAAAAAUUAGAUUUGCUAAGGUAAAUCUAGAAAAUAGAUGAUGCACUUUUUAAUUACUUAUAUACAUUAGAAAAAUUGUAGCUUUAUUAGGAAGAAAAAAAAGGAGAAAAGCAAUGAGGCUCAAAAUAUGGCUGAAGAGAUUAUGUACUUUUAAUUGCAUGUAUACAUGGAAAAAUUGUAAUUGUAUUAGCAAAUAAUGUAAAAACAAGGAUACUGAAAAGAUGGAAGGGAGCGCGACUAUUUGCUGAGUUGAGCUCGAUUGAUCUAAAAAACAUUUACCGUCAUUUGCAUGCUUUUUAACAAUCUACAAGCCAUGACUUAUAUAUAAUCCCUUCCCUCCAAUUAGUUAUAAUACUAACUAAUUGUCACUGCCAAACUAGAACUAGAGGCAAUUAGAAAACAUAUGCAAUCAGGAACUAGAGGCAACCAAGAACCAGAGGCAAUCAAGAACUAGAGGCAACCAACAAUCAGAGGCAACCAGGAACCAAAGGCAACCAAUAACCAGGAACUAGAGGCAACUAGGAACCAGAGACUAUCGAGAACUAGAGACAACUAUGAACCUGAUGCAACUAAGAACCGAAGGAAACUAGGGCCAAAACUAUCACAUUUACUUAAUACACAAUUUAGACUUUCACUAACUAAUACGCACA
This 1168-nucleotide long non-coding RNA is filed under the name Cicer arietinum (chickpea). Its description in RNAcentral is "long non-coding RNA (CARI_LNC002293)". The record is from RNAcentral. Lineage: Eukaryota; Viridiplantae; Streptophyta; Magnoliopsida; Fabales; Fabaceae.